Pteropus alecto (black flying fox) is the source of this 107-nucleotide non-coding RNA. NCBI's taxonomy places the organism in Eukaryota, Metazoa, Chordata, Mammalia, Chiroptera, Pteropodidae. The record is from Rfam.
UUGCUCGCUUCAGCAGCACAUACACUAAAAUUGAAACGAUACAGAGAAGAUUAGCAUGGCCCUUGCUCAAGGAUGAUACGCCAAUUCGUGGUAUUCCAUAUACAAAA